GAUGAACGCUAGCGGCAGGCCUAACACAUACAAGUCGAGGGGCAGCACAUAAAGUGGUUUACUACUUUUGGUGGCGACCGGCGGACGGGUGCGUAACGCGUAUGCAACCUGCCUCCAACAGGGGGAUAACGGAGAGAAAUUUCCACUAAUACCCCAUAAUAUCAGAAUCGGCAUCGGUUUUGGUUGAAAACUCCGGUGGUUGGAGAUGGGCAUGCGUUGUAUUAGAUAGUUGGUGAGGUAACGGCUCACCAAGUCAACGAUACAUAGGGGGACUGAGAGGUUAGCCACCCACACUGGUACUGAGACACGGACCAGACUCCUACGGGAGGCAGCAGUGAGGAAUAUUGGUCAAUGGGGGCAACCCUGAACCAGCCAUGCCGCGUGCAGGAAGACGGCUCUAUGAGUUGUAAACUGCUUUUACAAGGGGAUAAAUCGGUGUACGUGUACACCGUUGAAGGUACCUUGGGAAUAAGGAUCGGCUAACUCCGUGCCAGCAGCCGCGGUAA
Molecule: ribosomal RNA, 506 nt
Filed under: uncultured bacterium
Lineage: Bacteria
Description: partial 16S ribosomal RNA
Rfam family: Bacterial small subunit ribosomal RNA
Source: RNAcentral